GAUGAACGCUAGCGGCAGGCCUAACACAUGCAAGUCGAGGGGUAACAUAGUUUGCUUGCAAACUGAUGACGACCGGCGCACGGGUGCGGAACGCGUAUCGAACCUGCCCCCUUCAGGGGAAUAGCCCAGAGAAAUUUGGAUUAAUGCCCCAUGGCACCACGGAGUCGCAUGACAUUGUGGUUAAAGAUUUAUCGGAAGGGGAUGGCGAUGCGUAUCAUUAGCUGGUUGGUAAGGUAACGGCUUACCAAGGCAACGAUGAUUAGGGGCCCUGAGAGGGGGAUCCCCCACACUGGUACUGAGACACGGACCAGACUCCUACGGGAGGCAGCAGUGAGGAAUAUUGGACAAUGGCCGGAAGGUUGAUCCAGCCAUGCCGCGUGCAGGAUGACUGCCCUAUGGGUUGUAAACUGCUUUACGGGA
This 420-nucleotide ribosomal RNA is filed under the name uncultured bacterium. RNAcentral's name for it is "bacterial SSU rRNA". It matches the Rfam family "Bacterial small subunit ribosomal RNA", at positions 28 to 442 of the family's 1533-position model. The record is from RNAcentral.